This 373-nucleotide unclassified non-coding RNA is filed under the name soil metagenome. RNAcentral describes it as "partial contains 5.8S ribosomal RNA, internal transcribed spacer 2, and large subunit ribosomal RNA". The stretch from base 1 to 121 matches the Rfam family "5.8S ribosomal RNA", at positions 35 to 154 of the family's 154-position model. The record is from RNAcentral.
GAUGAAGAACGCAGCGAAAUGCGAUAAGUAAUGCGAAUUGCAGAAUUCCAGUGAGUCAUCGAAUCUUUGAACGCACAUUGCGCCCUUUGGUAUUCCGAAGGGCACGCCUGUUCGAGCGUCAUUAUCACCCCUCAAGCCCUCGGCUUGGUGUUGGACGGUUUGGUGGAGGCCCCCUCGGGGGCUCCUGCCCCUCCCAAAGACAAUGACGGCGGCCUCGUUGGACCCCCGGUACACUGAGUUCUUCACGGGACACGUAUCGGACACAUGGGUUUACGGGACACGGUCUGCCUCCCCUCAGGGAGAAUCUUUCUAAGGUUGACCUCGGAUCAGGUAGGGAUACCCGCUGAACUUAAGCAUAUCAAUAAGCGGAGGA